GCCCUAAUACAUGCAAGUCGAGCGGACAGAUGGGAGCUUGCUCCCUGAUGUUAGCGGCGGACGGGUGAGUAACACGUGGGUAACCUGCCUGUAAGACUGGGAUAACUCCGGGAAACCGGGGCUAAUACCGGAUGGUUGUUUGAACCGCAUGGUUCAGACAUAAAAGGUGGCUUCGGCUACCACUUACAGAUGGACCCGCGGCGCAUUAGCUAGUUGGUGAGGUAACGGCUCACCAAGGCGACGAUGCGUAGCCGACCUGAGAGGGUGAUCGGCCACACUGGGACUGAGACACGGCCCAGACUCCUACGGGAGGCAGCAGUAGGGAAUCUUCCGCAAUGGACGAAAGUCUGACGGAGCAACGCCGCGUGAGUGAUGAAGGUUUUCGGAUCGUAAAGCUCUGUUGUUAGGGAAGAACAAGUGCCGUUCAAAUAGGGCGGCACCUUGACGGUACCUAACCAGAAAGCCACGGCUAACUACGUGCCAGCAGCCGCGGUAAUACGUAGGUGGCAAGCGUUGUCCGGAAUUAUUGGGCGUAAAGGGCUCGCAGGCGGUUUCUUAAGUCUGAUGUGAAAGCCCCCGGCUCAACCGGGGAGGGUCAUUGGAAACUGGGGAACUUGAGUGCAGAAGAGGAGAGUGGAAUUCCACGUGUAGCGGUGAAAUGCGUAGAGAUGUGGAGGAACACCAGUGGCGAAGGCGACUCUCUGGUCUGUAACUGACGCUGAGGAGCGAAAGCGUGGGGAGCGAACAGGAUUAGAUACCCUGGUAGUCCACGCCGUAAACGAUGAGUGCUAAGUGUUAGGGGGUUUCCGCCCCUUAGUGCUGCAGCUAACGCAUUAAGCACUCCGCCUGGGGAGUACGGUCGCAAGACUGAAACUCAAAGGAAUUGACGGGGGCCCGCACAAAGCGGGUGGAGCAUGUGGGUUUAAUUCGAAGCAACGCGAAGAAACCUUACCAAGUCUUGACAUCCUCUGACCAAUCCUAGAAGAUAAGGACGUCCCCCUUCCGGGGGCAGAGUUGACAGGUGG
RNAcentral lists this ribosomal RNA (1025 nucleotides) under Bacillus velezensis. Its description in RNAcentral is "bacterial SSU rRNA". It matches the Rfam family "Bacterial small subunit ribosomal RNA", at positions 46 to 1041 of the family's 1533-position model. The record is from RNAcentral. Lineage: Bacteria; Bacillati; Bacillota; Bacilli; Caryophanales; Bacillaceae.